RNAcentral lists this Y RNA (117 nucleotides) under Hyphomicrobiales bacterium. Its description in RNAcentral is "YrlA". It matches the Rfam family "Y RNA-like". From Rfam's summary of the family: In Deinococcus radiodurans Rsr is tethered via Y RNA to the exoribonuclease PNPase and channels single-stranded RNA into the PNPase cavity. The record is from RNAcentral. Lineage: Bacteria; Pseudomonadati; Pseudomonadota; Alphaproteobacteria; Hyphomicrobiales.
AUGACGAAUGCAGGCGAAACUACAUCAUGUCGCGGGUUCGAUCCCCGUCGGGCCUCCUCUUCGGCCCGUAGCUCAGUGGUAGAGCAGAAGCGUUUCGCCGACCCUUGUCGUCAUGGC